This 257-nucleotide ribosomal RNA is filed under the name uncultured Pseudomonas sp. RNAcentral describes it as "partial 16S ribosomal RNA". It matches the Rfam family "Bacterial small subunit ribosomal RNA", at positions 96 to 355 of the family's 1533-position model. Lineage: Bacteria; Pseudomonadati; Pseudomonadota; Gammaproteobacteria; Pseudomonadales; Pseudomonadaceae. The record is from RNAcentral.
CGGCGGACGGGUGAGUAAUGCCUAGGAAUCUGCCUGGUAGUGGGGGACAACGUUUCGAAAGGAACGCUAAUACCGCAUGCGUCCUACGGGAGAAAGCAGGGGACCUUCGGGCCUUGCGCUAUCAGAUGAGCCUAGGUCGGAUUAGCUAGUUGGUGGGGUAAUGGCUCACCAAGGCGACGAUCCGUAACUGGUCUGAGAGGAUGAUCAGUCACACUGGAACUGAGACACGGUCCAGACUCCUACGGGAGGCAGCAGUU